This 617-nucleotide ribosomal RNA is filed under the name uncultured bacterium. Its description in RNAcentral is "bacterial SSU rRNA". It matches the Rfam family "Bacterial small subunit ribosomal RNA", at positions 233 to 865 of the family's 1533-position model. The record is from RNAcentral.
GCGUCUGAUUAGCUAGUUGGUGAGAUAAGAGCCCACCAAGAGAGACGAUCAGUAGCCGGCUUGAGAGAGUGACCGUCCACAUUGGGACUGAGACACGGCCCAAACUCCUACGGGAGGCAGCAGUGGGGAAUAUUGCACAAUGGGGGAAACCCUGAUGCAGCGACGCCGCGUGAGUGAAGAAGUGUUUCGGCAGGUAAAGCUCUAUCAGCAGGGAAGAAGAUGACGGUACCCGAGUAAGAAGCCCCGGCUAAAUACGUGCCAGCAGCCGCGGUAAUAUGUAGGGGGCAAGCGUUAUCCUGAUUUACUGGGUGUAAAGGGAGCGUAGGUGGCAGAUCAAGUCUGAUGUGAAAGCCCGUGGGUCAAAUCCGGGAUUGCAUUUGAAACUGGUCUGGUAGAGUGCAGGAGAGGUAAGUGGAAUUCUUAGUGUAGCGCUGAAAUGCGUAGAUAUUAGGAGGAACACCAGUGGGGAAGGCGGCUUACCGGACUGUAACUGACACUGAGGCUCGAAAGCGUGGGGAGCAAACACGAUUAGAUACCCCGGUAGUCCACGCCGUAAACGAUGAAUACUAGGUGUCGGGGGUCAAAAGACCUUCGGUGCCGUAGCAAACGCAUUAAGU